RNAcentral lists this ribosomal RNA (313 nucleotides) under Metabelba pulverulenta. Its description in RNAcentral is "eukaryotic LSU rRNA". It matches the Rfam family "Eukaryotic large subunit ribosomal RNA", at positions 666 to 944 of the family's 3401-position model. The record is from RNAcentral. Lineage: Eukaryota; Metazoa; Arthropoda; Arachnida; Sarcoptiformes; Damaeidae.
CCAAGGAGUCUAACAUGUGCGCGAGUCGCUCGGUCUUGAAUAGGCCAGAGAGGCGCAAUGAAAGUAAAGUUGAUUGAGAUACGAUCCUCAUGCGGUUAUCCUUGCGGUAACGGUGAGGCGCAGUAUCGGCCCGCAAAUUUCGCUUAUUGACGAUCUUGCGGAGUCGUAGCGUACACGUUGGUACCCGAAAGAUGGUGAACUAUGCCUGGGCAAGACGAAGCCAGAGGAAACUCUGGUGGAGGUCUGUAGCGAUUCUGACGUGCAAAUCGAUCGUCAGACCUGGGUAUAGGGGCGAAAGACUAAUCGAACCAUC